RNA transcript from Cryptomeria japonica (Japanese cedar), 2691 nucleotides. RefSeq lists it as uncharacterized. Lineage: Eukaryota; Viridiplantae; Streptophyta; Pinopsida; Cupressales; Cupressaceae. The record is from RefSeq and is a predicted model, not a curated record. The transcript has 4 exons.
UUAACUAAAAUAUUAGACACAGAAAUCGGCCUUUACAACAAGCUUAUAAGCACUUUCAUUCAAUUUUGUCACUAUUAAUAUUUGAUAGGUCAGUAUUUAUUUAUACUAAAGCGAUGCUCUGAAAUUUUAAUUUCACUGGGAAUCACACACAGUGUAUUUCAAAAAUCAAGCAACAGGAGCAGCUAUUGCCAGUUUAAUAGAGGGCCAUGGACUUGCUGCAGGAUUACGAUGAUGCCAGUGGCAAAGGCGAGUCAAGCUCAGAAGCAAAGCAUUCAUCAGGAAUGGAACACGAGAGCUCUUCUCCAGACUCAUCUCCCUUAAGGCUGUCUCUGCCAUCUAAAUCGUGCGCACCGCAGGUGGACGAAACCCUAAUGGCGCUGGGCAUUCCAGGCGUACCGAAAGAUUUUCAUAGCAAGCCGAUCGAUCCAGUUCAGCACAGCGUGAAAUUUAAUCCGACGUACGACCAGCUGUGGGCUCCCAUCUAUGGCCCUGCGCAUCCCUAUGCUAAGGACGGCAUUGCCCAGGGCAUGCGCAAUCACAAGCUAGGGUUUGUGGAAGAUGCCGCCAUCGAGCCCUUCAUGUUCGACGAGCAAUACAACACUUUUCACAGGUAUGGCUAUGCUGCUGAUCCUUCUGCUUCGGUAGCCAACAAUAUAGUUGGAGAUUUAGAGGCUUUGAAGGAGAAUGAUGGGUUGUCCGUUUAUAAUUUGCCUCAACGUGAACACAAGAAACGAAAACAUGAUUUGAAAACAGCCCAGGUGGAAGAAAAUGGAGAAGAAGAAGAAAAUGGCGAAGAGAUUGACAAUCCUGCAUCUGAGGAAUGGUUAAGAAAGAAUAGAAAGAGCCCGUGGGCUGGUAAGAAGGAAGGAUUGCAGACUGAGCUGACAGAAGAACAGAAGAAGUAUGCUGAAGAACAUGCAGAGAAGAAGGGUGAGAAAGAGAAGGGUGAGAAAGAGGAAUUUGCAGACAAGACCACGUUCCAUGGGAAGGAGGAGAGAGACUACCAGGGCAGGUCAUGGGUUGCUCCUCCAAAAGAUGCGAAGGCUACAAAUGAUCAUUGUUAUAUUCCCAAGCGGUGGGUUCACACAUGGAGUGGUCAUACAAAAGGGGUUUCUGCAAUCAGGUUCUUCCCCAAGUAUGGUCAUCUCUUGCUUUCUGCCAGUAUGGACACCAAGAUCAAGAUUUGGGAUGUUUUUAACAGCGGCAAAUGCAUGAGGACAUACAUGGGCCAUUCCAAGGCAGUCAGAGAUAUAUCAUUUAGCAAUGAUGGUUCCAGAUUUUUGAGUGCAGGGUAUGAUAGGAACAUCAGACUUUGGGACACAGAAACAGGGAAGGUGAUUUCAUCAUUCUCCACGGGGAAAAUUCCUUAUGUUGUAAAGCUCAAUCCAGAUGAGGAUAAGCAAAAUGUGCUUCUUGCAGGUAUGAGUGAUAAAAAGAUUGUGCAGUGGGACAUGAACAGUGGGGAGAUCACUCAGGAAUACGACCAACAUCUUGGUGCUGUUAAUACUAUUACUUUCGUUGACAAUAAUAGGAGGUUUGUGACAUCGAGUGAUGACAAGUCUUUGAGGGUUUGGGAAUUUGGUAUUCCAGUGGUUAUUAAAUACAUCAGUGAGCCGCAUAUGCAUUCAAUGCCAUCUAUUUCUCUCCAUCCAAACACAAAUUGGCUUGCUGCACAGAGUUUGGAUAAUCAAAUUCUUAUCUACAGUACAAGGGAGAGGUUCCAACUUAAUAAGAAGAAGAGGUUUGCAGGGCACAUUGCAGCAGGUUAUGCUUGCCAAGUUAACUUUUCACCUGAUGGGCGGUUUGUCAUGUCUGGAGAUGGUGAGGGCAGGUGCUGGUUUUGGGACUGGAAAACUUGCAAAGUGUUCAGAACUCUUAAAUGCCAUGAAAGUGUUUGCAUAGGCUGUGAGUGGCAUCCUUUGGAACAGAGUAAGGUUGCUACAUGUGGCUGGGAUGGGAUGAUUAAGUAUUGGGAUUGAAUUAAUAACAAUAAACAAUGUGUAAUAUAAGCUUCAAACUUGCCAUGAGCAUGUAUUUCUGGAGGUGCUUUAUGAAUAGAGUGGAUGCACGGCCUUUUCAACAUGUACAGUGCCAAGAGACUUAGUAUAGCAGGAAAACUUAGAUGAACUGGAUGUAGAAGAUAGAAAUGGAGGCCAACAAGAUAACUCCUUUUUCAAAGGUUCACUAUGAUCAGAAACCUUCUACAUUAAUCCAUGCUCUUUGGACUGUUGGUUGCUAUGUUCUGCUAUCUCAUGAAGCAUGCAUUCCACAUUUGAUGAAGCAUUUUUUACUUAUUUUUCUUGUUCAUCUUUAUUUCCUUUGCUUGCACGAGGCUGAAUAGACCCCGUCUUUAAAGCUUUUACUCUUUUUGGCUCAGGUUGUCUUUCUUCCUCCCCUACUUAACAAUCCACCAUGCAAUUUGUUUCUAGCACCCCUUGAUGGGUUGCCUUUGCUUCCUUCCACUCCAUGAGUUUCCUUUUCUUGGUUACCUGCUGCUGAUCCUUAAAUUUACCUCCAUUCAUACUUUCCACACCAUUUUCUUUGAUUAAUUCAUCAUUUGUUGCAAUUUUGAAUCCAUGACCUGUUCUCUUUGAUUUCAGAGGCAGCAAAUCAACCCCGCUGGCAUAUCAUGCACUGCCAUGGAAUGACCAAAAUGGGUUCUGUAAUCUUUUCUACUAGAAAAUUAUUUUC